This 912-nucleotide unclassified non-coding RNA is filed under the name uncultured fungus. RNAcentral describes it as "sequence contains 18S rRNA gene, ITS1, 5.8S rRNA gene, ITS2, 28S rRNA gene". Lineage: Eukaryota; Fungi. The record is from RNAcentral.
UCUCGCGGUCCUCAGCAUCGUACUGGAAGGUGACCUGGCCAUCGCUGUUGUACUUGUUUCGUAGAUACGUGAUGUUCUCCGGAUCGGUGAUGCUGGUCAGCCGGCCAUCCGUAUAGCCAUAGCGCGUCGUGGCGCGCCUCGUUGAAUCAAAGGGCGCCGUGACCGCCGUCAGCUCGUCACCGAUGAAUUCGUACGUCCAGGUUCGACUCAGCGGGUCGGUAAGCACGAUGCGGUCGGGGAAGUAUUGAAAAGAGAGUUUCCGACCGCUGAUGUCCUCAAGGUAGUCGAUGCGGCCCUGGGGGUCAUAUGCGAGACGGAUAGUGUUCCCGUGGCGAUCCUCAAUGAGGACGAGCCGGCCUUGGCUAUCAAGCGGGCCGUACGCUUCGAAGUGGUACUUCAUCUGGUUUUUGAACUUCAGGAUCCAGCCGCUCGCAGUGCGCGUUAGCUCGUCGAAGACGCCCGCCUCACCGGCAUAUGAAGCGCCGGCGCGCUGCCAGCCCCUGCCCUGGCCCUCACCGCUCCAGACCAUGACCGAGCCGUCGUAGUACUCCUGGAGCGCCGUGUCCGCGAUCGUGCUCCAGCCCCGGCCGAGCAUGCCCACGCGAUCGCUGCGUGAGUUGUACGUGCGCUUCCACUCCAUCACCAGGCCAGCGUGGCCGGGCACCUUCACGUCCGAAUGCUGGUAGAAAUAGUUGCCGGUGCUUGUGCUGACCGGAUCCAGUACGCAGGCCUGGAAGUCGCACGUCCCGAGGGCCGUGACAAGAUCCUUUUCUUCCUGAGUUGGCGCUUUCUCGCCCAGGUACCGGAACGUCACCUUGUCGUAGCCGAGCUUGGUUUCGACUGGCGGAACGAUCGGAGAAUCCUUGGUUACAUCGUCAAGAUAGACAUACUCAUUGCCCUGUGCAUCGAACU